RNAcentral lists this ribosomal RNA (520 nucleotides) under uncultured bacterium. RNAcentral describes it as "bacterial SSU rRNA". It matches the Rfam family "Bacterial small subunit ribosomal RNA", at positions 26 to 518 of the family's 1533-position model. The record is from RNAcentral.
AGGACGAACGCUGGCGGCGUGCCUAAUACAUGCAAGUCGAACGGUCUUUCUAUGGAAGCUUGCUUCCACUGAGAAGAUAGUGGCGAACGGGUGAGUAACACGUGGGUAACCUGCCCAUAAGAGGGGGGAUAACAUCCGGAAACGGGUGCUAAUACCGCAUAGUUUUCUUGAUCGCAUGAUCGGGAAAGGAAAGACGGCCUUUGUGCUGUCGCUUAUGGAUGGACCCGCGGCGUAUUAGUUAGUUGGUGAGGUAACGGCUCACCAAGACGAUGAUACGUAGCCGACCUGAGAGGGUGAUCGGCCACAUUGGGACUGAGGCACGGCCCAAACUCCUACGGGAGGCAGCAGUAGGGAAUCUUCCGCAAUGGACGAAAGUCUGACGGAGCAACGCCGCGUGAGUGAAGAAAGGUUUUCGGAUCGUAAAGCUCUGUUGUCAGAGAAGAACAAGUUGGAGAGUAACUGCUCCAGCCUUGACGGUAUCUGACCAGAAAGCCACGGCUAACUACGUGCCAGCCGCCGC